GUGAAUGUGGCUUUUUCAACCCUGGGCCUGAAGUUCCCCACCGCUGCCUCCAGGGUACUGGGUCUAGUUGAGAUGUAUGCAGUUCUGUAGGACUUGCUAGAUAUGAACAAACGGAAACUCAAUUAGCCAUCUCAAGGCACUGGGGAAAACCCUGAACUGUCUGGGUGAGUUCCAAAUAUCUUUCAGGACUAAAGAGGGCAUCACAAGCCCAUGUUGAUGGCCUUUCAGCUGAUUCCCUGGUGGCCCGCUGGAAUGCGGAGUUAACCAGGGCUAUCGACUGUCUGGCUCCGAAGCGCCCUCUCCGAUUGCAUGGAGCCCGGACAGCCCGUGGUUUUCUUCGGAGCUGAGGGCGAUGAAACAAUCGCUGAGACGGCUAGAGCGUCGGUGGCAGAAAACUCACUCCGAAUCUGACCGGACACAGGUUAGAGCUCAACGUCUGAGCCUACCAAGUGGCGAUAGCGACGGCGAAGAAGACUUUCUUCACCGCCUCUAUUGCAUCUGCAGAAAAUAGUAGCAGGAGACUCUUUCAGGUGGUUCGCAAUUUAACGGAACCACCUUUACCACCGGGGCAUUGUAAAGACCCCAAGAUCUCCUGCAACGAUUUUGCAAAGUUUUUUGCAGAUAAAAUCACUCAUAUUCGGAAGGAGCUAGACACCACCGUGGGAGCAGGGCCAGGGCGGGAGAGUGCUAGAGCUCUGUCUGGUCAAGUUGCAUGGAAUCAAUUUCAAUCCGUUACCCCGAGGAUGUGGACAGGCUGCUUGGACGCGUGAAAGCAACCACCUGUCUCCUUGAUCCUUGCCCAUCCUGGCUAAUAAAAGCAAGCCGGGAAGGGCUGGGCGAUGGGCUCUGCGGGGUGGUGAAUGCUUCCCUCUGUGAGGGAACAUUCCCAGAUCCGCUGAAAGAGGCGGUCAUUAAACCGCUUCUUAAAAACCAUCUUUAGACCCGGCCAGUAUGGCCAACUAUCGCCCAGUCUCAAAUCUUCCAUUCUUGGGCAAGGUGAUUGAGCGUGUGGUUGCUGAACAACUCCAGGCACGCCUGGAGGAUGCGGACCAUUUGGAUCCCUUCCAAUCGGGAUUCAGGCCUCACCAUGGGACUGAAACUGCCUUGGUCGCACUGGUUGAUGAUCUCCGGCGAGCUAGGGACAAAGGUGAGAGUUGUUUCCUGGUUCUGCUGGAUCUCUCAGCGGCCUUUGAUACAAUCGACCAUAACAUCCUUCUGGACCGUCUAGAGGGGCUGGGAGCUGGGGGCACUGUUAUACAGUGGUUUCGCUCCUUCCUCCUGGGCCGUGUUCAGAAAGUGGUGGUGGGGAUGAGUAUUCAGACCCCUGGGCCCUCACUUGUGGGGUGCCUCAGGGUUCCGUCCUCUCCCCCAUGCUUUGUAACAUCUAUAUGAAGCCGCUGGGAGAGAUCAUCAGGGGAUUUGGACUGGGUGUCCAUCAAUAUGCAGAUGAUACCCAGCUCUACCUCUCUUUCAAAUCAGAACCAGUGAAGGCGGUGAAGGUCCUGUGUGAGUGCCUGGAGGCGGUUGGAGGAUGGAUGGCGGCUAAUGGAUUGAAGUUGAAUCCUGACAAGACAGAAGUAUUGUUUUUGGGAGACAGGGGGCGGGCUGGUGUGGAGGACUCCCUGGUCCUGAAUAGGGUAACUGUGCCCCUGAAGGACCAGGUGCGCAGCCUGGGAGUCAUUUUGGACUCACAGCUGUCCAUGGAGGCACAGGUCAAUUCUGUAUCCAGGGCAGCUGUCUACCAACUCCACCUGGUACGCAGGCUGAGACCCUACCUGCCCGCGGACUGUCUCGCCAGAGUGGUGCAUGCUCUGGUUAUCUCCCGCUUGGACUACUGCAAUGCGCUCUACGUGGGGCUACCUUUGAAGGUGACCCGGAAACUACAAUUAAUCCAGAAUGCGGCAGCUAGACUGGUGACUGGGGUAGAGGGAACCAGAAAUUUCACCUGAAAGUUGGUAUGUCCAACCAGCUAAGGGAUAACCCACACCCCUCAUCUCCCAACUCAUUGUUUAUGUGGCAUUUGUCAUUGGGGAAGAGGUUUUAUGAUUUUGCAGAUGGAGAACUGAGGUUGAGACAUUUUGGCCUUAAAGCCAGGUCCCCCAUUAUAAAUAUCUCCCUGCACUCUGCUUUCUCUUCUGACGCAACUUUGCAAGAAACAGAUGUGCCAAAAUACGAAGAGCUGCCUGAGGAUAAAUAUCAAGUUUAGAAGGUCUCUGUCAUUCACCUGCUUGUGUCACUAAGCGAGCACUAAGCAGAAGGCAGUAUGAUAAAAGCCCUGGAAUGCACCAUUGAAAUAGCAAAUGCAAGGUCUGCACUAACGGUUUAUAAGGCCAAGGAUGCCUCUGAUCCGCAGCUAACCUUCCAUUCACGAGAAAUGCAAAACAAAACAGAAAAUGUGAUAACAUUUAAAAAUAAUUACAAUGCCUAGGAGGAUGAAAUACAUAAUUACAGCACUUAUAUUUAUAUCUGAAUGGAUACAAUCUUGUUCUUGGUGUAUUUUUGCUUAGAACAGAUGCAGCAAGCCCCCCCUUUUUUAUUCUGGUCCCCCACAUAAAUUACCAUAUUUGCCUGAGAGCGACUGUAGGCACCAUUCUCUUUCUGAUUUUCAUUCUUGCACACAUUUAAACAAUGAGAUUGGAAGGAAGUACAGUUCUUAUUUACACCUGCAUUUUUUAAUCCAUGCAAAAUCCUGUUUAGGCAGUGCUGGGCUGAAGGGUAAGGGAAUAUUACAGUAUCUUCAAAGCCAAUGUGCCUCAGGCCCAACGGAGUAGUGUGGCUGACACUUAGCCAGCGAGGAUAAAUCAAUCAAUUCAUUAGCUGUAUGAAGCCUCCAGUUUCUGAGGUAGUCUGUCCCUAAAUACACUUGGUAAGAAACAACAAGGAGAGGGAACUAUUGCCCUUAUGCUUGUGGGCUUCCCAUAGGCAUCUGGUUGACCACUGUGGAAAAAGGAUGCUGAACUAGAUGGACUUUAUGUCAGAUCCAUCAAAACUGCUGUUAUGCUCAAAGCUGGAUCUCACGCCACUCCGCUAGUGUUUGAAGGAAGGAUUUUCUGUACAGUCUCAAAGUUUAGCUACUACCGUAUCUGUGCUGGCAACCCAGACUGGAGAGGUAAGGAAUGCUAUCAUGGAUAGGACCUAUGUAUCCUCCAUCCCACUAGAGGUCCAGCCCUACUUUCAUGCAAGAUGAGGUGGUCCCAUGGUCAUAUUAUGGGGGAAAGGGUGCGGGCCUUAAUGCAAUGCAUUCUCCACUGCCCCAUUACACUUUAUCUCAGACCUUCAAUUAUAUAAAGAGGGGGAAGUGAGAAACUAUCAUUCUGUUCCUCAUGUCUGGCUGGCAGCUGGUAUCUUAAAUUUCCCAGUUACUAUUGCUACUUGGAUGUCAUUGGUGCUGACUUUCUCCUGGUCUGGUAGCUGGAGAGAGCAUAGAAACGACAUCAUCUUAGCCUGCAUUGUUUUUCUUAUUUAAUUCUUUUUUAAAUACAAUUCAACAUGUCAUAUCAAAAUAUGUGGUUCUAUAGACCAACUCUGAUGAAGCCCAGUUGGGCGAAACAAGGAAUUAUCCUGGAAUCCUUGUCUUCUUUUCUGCAUGUGCCAUUCUUCUAAGUCUUUCGUCUGAAACCUGCAUACAAAGAACGCUAGAAUUCUUUAAAGCAUCUUCAUGUGGAACAUUACAAGAUUGAUAUAAGAAUUCCACAUCGUGGAUAUUGCUAGCAUAAGAACUGAAUGGAAUGUAUUUCCCGGUCAAACUGCUGGACUCUAAUUUCUCAUAAUAUGUUUUGUUUAUAUGAUAAGUUGGUCUACAGAACCACAUAUUUUGAUAUGACAUGUUGAAUUGUAUUUCAAAAAGAAUUAAAUAAGUUUUUUUAAAAAAAAAAAUCAUAUAAUUACAUACAGCCUGUCACACUGUAUGUGUUGUCCAGUUUUACAUUUACGUGACAAAGGGUUUGAUAGUGUUUUGGCCUACAGGCUAGGAACAGGCAAAGCUGUCAACUUUGGUUCCUCUCAGUUUCUCAGUUUUCCAAUCUUAAGUUCAACUUUUCCAUAUUCUCACAUCAGUUUGCCAUUGUUGGUUUUUUUAAAGGUCUCCUGAAAGGUUGUCACUGUUCUCUGCAUUUCCCAUUGCUCCUUGACCAUUGGCCAUGAUGGGUGAAGCUAAGGGGGGAUGAGUCCAACAAAAUUCGAAAGAUGUCAUUUUGGCUACGCUUCUUGUAGUCACCACGCCACACCAGUUAUCCAGUUGACAGACAUCAGGCUCUAAUGCUCCAAAGAGAAAUGCCAGAUAAAACGAUGGUAGGAAUCUAACUGCUGCUUGUUUUGGUAGUGGGGAAGGAAAUAUUUUGCAACUUGAUCUGAGAGAAAAGAGAGCAGCAUAGGUAUCAAGUGUAAUUAUGUUAUUAAACUGUGAGCGUUCCUUCAGUUUUUCAUAAUCUCAUUUAGUGUUUCUGAUGUCAAGCUAAAUUAUUUUUAAUUGCUUUUAUGAAAAAUAUUAGAUGCAUUAAUGGUUUUCUGAACUAGCUCUGAGAGUGCAAUUUUGUGAGAGAAUUUCUUUAUCUUCUCCAAAGAGUUUUAGUUAAUGUGCAUGUAUCGGUAAUUGGAGUGACUAAGCUAGUAAGUAAUCACAGUGUUAUUAUCAUUAAGGAAAGCACACAAUGUCACACCAUGGUAAUAUUCCUCCUCCGCACCGUUUCUUGUUGGGCACGAUGGUGUUAGCAUUAAACAUUCAUGCUGGCUCUCUCCUAUUGUUCAGCUUCAAAUAUGUUGAGAGCCAUUCAUAACUAAAGCAAUGGGGUAGCUGCAUGCUAUUCACCUCCUGCACGAUCAUGUGCUGGGCAACACACACAAGUAAAAGCAUGGGUGAUGGUUAAAUGAUAAAGCUCAUGCUACAAAAUCAGAAACGGGAGCAAGCAUGUACCCACACUGUCACAAUGUAGAAAUAUGUGAAUGAUCUUGGGAUCCAUACACUGUCCCCAAAGCAUAGCGGGGCAUAUGAUUCACGCCUAGCCCAAUUAAAGAUCCUCUUGCAGAUGCAGCUCACCUUGCCAACAAAAAAUGUUAAAGCUGUUGCUAUGCGAUUCAUUCCUAAGGAUGUAAGAAGAACCCUGCUGGAUCAGACCAGCUUCCUGUUCUCACAAUGGCCAGCCAGAAACCAACCAGCAGGACCAGGACCUGAGCACAACAGCAGUUUCCGCUGCACUUGUGAUUCAGGUGCAGCGUGCAGGAAAAGGCUGUCCUCAGGUGUGGGUGGAAGAUUUUGUCCCAAUGCCAGUGUUGAAGUAAUAAGAUUCAACAGCAAGUUGGCUUGGCUUUUGUAUAUGGAAUUGGGAGGCCUCGGGCACCACGUUCUCUUGGUCUAACCCUGGCCUUCAGAUGAUCAGGUGCAAAAUGGUGAAAUACGUGGGAGAGGGAAAGAGGGAGAGGGAGGGAGAGGGAGAGGAAGAGAGAGAGAGAUAGACUGGCUAUUCACCAGGUGGAAAAGAAGUGCUCACAAUGAAGGAGACAUCAACCCUUUGCAGUAUGAAAAAGAACCAAAUAGCAUUUUGUGGCUGUAUAAUAUUUCUGCUUUGCUUUAGAUGCUAUAGGUUGUUCCUCCUCUCCACCUUUUAUUUUGGCAGUGUUUCUUCUGAAUCACGAACACCACAUGCAGAGUAUGUGCUCCCAAGAGGCUGCAAGCAAAUGUUUCCAGGAAAAUAAAAACCACCCUGAAUUUAUAAGUGUGACAUUUCUAAAUCCCAGUGAAUUUCUAAACUGGGGGUGGGGAAGGAAGCAGCUAACAAAAUGGAAACCUUUCCUGCUUUCUGUUCCCUUCAGUGCUUCCAGGAGGGAUGGGCAGAAUAAGGGGCAUAGUUUACAACCCCUGAGCAGUACAGAGCAGCCAUCACUGGGAAACCUUAUCUUGACUGUUCUUGUAAGGCAGCAAUUUCUGAGCUUGAAGCAGAGAUAAGGAGAGAAAGACAGACUGAUAGACAUAGCAACUUCAGAGGAGACUGAAU
This is a non-coding RNA of Podarcis lilfordi (Lilford's wall lizard), 5990 nucleotides long. The record is from the annotation of a GenBank genome assembly. NCBI's taxonomy places the organism in Eukaryota, Metazoa, Chordata, Lepidosauria, Squamata, Lacertidae.